RNAcentral lists this transfer RNA (77 nucleotides) under Allium ampeloprasum (leek). RNAcentral describes it as "tRNA-Tyr". Lineage: Eukaryota; Viridiplantae; Streptophyta; Magnoliopsida; Asparagales; Amaryllidaceae. The record is from RNAcentral.
GACUGUAAAUUCGUUGACGACUGUCUACGCUGGUUCAAAUCCAGCUCGGCCCAAGAAUUCACCCCGUCCCAUGAGUA